Molecule: ribosomal RNA, 1201 nt
Filed under: 'Solanum melongena' phyllody phytoplasma
Lineage: Bacteria; Bacillati; Mycoplasmatota; Mollicutes; Acholeplasmatales; Acholeplasmataceae
Description: bacterial SSU rRNA
Rfam family: Bacterial small subunit ribosomal RNA
Source: RNAcentral
AGGAAGAUAAAAGGCAUCUUUUAUCUUUUAAAAGACCUAGUAAUAGGUAUGCUUUAGGAGGGGCUUGCGCCAUAUUAGUUAGUUGGUAGGGUAAUGGCCUACCAAGACGAUGAUGUGUAGCUGGACUGAGAGGUUGAACAGCCACAUUGGGACUGAGACACGGCCCAAACUCCUACGGGAGGCAGCAGUAGGGAAUUUUCGGCAAUGGAGGAAACUCUGACCGAGCAACGCCGCGUGAAUGACGAAGUACUUCGGUAUGUAAAGUUCUUUUAUCAAGGAAGAAAAGCAAAUGGCGAACCAUUUGUUUGCCGGUACUUGAUGAAUAAGCCCCGGCUAAUUAUGUGCCAGCAGCCGCGGUAAGACAUAAGGGGCAAGUGUUAUCCGGAAUUAUUGGGCGUAAAGGGUGCGUAGGCGGUCUAGUAAGUCAGUGGUGUAAUGGCAACGCUUAACGUUGUCCGGCUAUUGAAACUGCUAAACUUGAGUUAGAUAGAGGCGAGUGGAAUUCCAUGUGUAGCGGUAAAAUGCGUAAAUAUAUGGAGGAACACCAGAGGCGUAGGCGGCUCGCUGGGUCUUAACUGACGCUGAGGCACGAAAGCGUGGGGAGCAAACAGGAUUAGAUACCCUGGUAGUCCACGCCGUAAACGAUGAGUACUAAGUGUCGGGUUAAACCGGUACUGAAGUUAACACAUUAAGUACUCCGCCUGAGUAGUACGUACGCAAGUAUGAAACUUAAAGGAAUUGACGGGACUCCGCACAAGCGGUGGAUCAUGUUGUUUAAUUCGAAGAUACCCGAAAAACCUUACCAGGUCUUGACAUGUUUUUGCAAAAUGAUAGUAAUAUCGUGGAGGUUACCAGAAACACAGGUGGUGCAUGGUUGUCGUCAGCUCGUGUCGUGAGAUGUUAGGUUAAGUCCUAAAACGAGCGAAACCCUUAUCGUUAGUUGCCAGCACGUUAUGGUGGGGACUUUAACGAGACUGCCAAUGAUAAAUUGGAGGAAGGUGAGGAUCACGUCAAAUCAGCAUGCCCCUUAUGACCUGGGCUACAAACGUGAUACAAUGGCUGUUACAAAGGGUAGCUGAAACGCAAGUUCUUGGCCAAUCCCCAAAAACAGUCCCAGUCCGGAUUGAAGUCUGCAACUCGACUUCAUGAAGUUGGAAUCGCUAGUAAUCGCGAAUCAGCAUGUCGCGGUGAAUACGUUCUC